RNAcentral lists this ribosomal RNA (476 nucleotides) under uncultured bacterium. RNAcentral describes it as "bacterial SSU rRNA". It matches the Rfam family "Bacterial small subunit ribosomal RNA", at positions 328 to 793 of the family's 1533-position model. The record is from RNAcentral.
UUGUCACACUCCUACGGGGAGGCAGCAGUGGGGAAUAUUGCACAAUGGGGGAAACCCUGAUGCAGCCAUGCCGCGUGUGUGAAGAAGGCCUUCGGGUUGUAAAGCACUUUCAGUAGGGAGGAAGGUAGUGUAGUUAACACCUGCACUAUUUGACGUUACCUACAGAAGAAGCACCGGCUAACUCCGUGCCAGCAGCCGCGGUAAUACGGAGGGUGCGAGCGUUAAUCGGAAUUACUGGGCGUAAAGCGCAUGCAGGCGGCCUGUUAAGUCAGAUGUGAAAGACCCGGGGCUUAACCUCGGAAUUGCAUUUGAAACUGGCAGGCUAGAGUCUUGUAGAGGGGGGUAGGAAUUUCAGGUGUAGCGGUGAAAUGCGUAGAGAUCUGAAGGAAUACCAGUGGCGAAGGCGGCCCCCUGGACAAAGACUGACGCUCAGAUGCGAAAGCGUGGGGAGCAAACAGGAUUAGAUACCCUGGUAG